UGCAAGUCGAACGCUUCUUUUUCCACCGGAGCUUGCUCCACCGGAAAAAGAGGAGUGGCGAACGGGUGAGUAACACGUGGGUAACCUGCCCAUCAGAAGGGGAUAACACUUGGAAACAGGUGCUAAUACCGUAUAACAAUCAAAACCGCAUGGUUUUGAUUUGAAAGGCGCUUUCGGGUGUCGCUGAUGGAUGGACCCGCGGUGCAUUAGCUAGUUGGUGAGGUAACGGCUCACCAAGGCCACGAUGCAUAGCCGACCUGAGAGGGUGAUCGGCCACAUUGGGACUGAGACACGGCCCAAACUCCUACGGGAGGCAGCAGUAGGGAAUCUUCGGCAAUGGACGAAAGUCUGACCGAGCAACGCCGCGUGAGUGAAGAAGGUUUUCGGAUCGUAAAACCUCUGUUGUUAGAGAAGAACCAAGGAUGAGAGUAACCUGUUCCUCCCUUGAACGGUAUCUAACCCGAAAGCCCCGGCUAACCUACGUGCCCGCAGCCGCGGUAUUACGUAGGUGGCAAGCUUGGUCCGGAUUU
This 530-nucleotide ribosomal RNA is filed under the name Enterococcus faecium. RNAcentral's name for it is "bacterial SSU rRNA". It matches the Rfam family "Bacterial small subunit ribosomal RNA", at positions 56 to 552 of the family's 1533-position model. The record is from RNAcentral. Lineage: Bacteria; Bacillati; Bacillota; Bacilli; Lactobacillales; Enterococcaceae.